Molecule: non-coding RNA, 45 nt
Filed under: Schistosoma curassoni
Lineage: Eukaryota; Metazoa; Platyhelminthes; Trematoda; Strigeidida; Schistosomatidae
Source: RNAcentral
AUUCAGCUGACAAGUUUCAAAAAAGACGAAACACUUGUCCUGAAU